GACGAACGCUGGCGGCGUGCUUAACACAUGCAAGUCGAACGGAGCGAAUGAAAGCUUGCUUUUAUGAGCUUAGUGGCAAACGGGUGAGUAACACGUAGACAACCUGCCGACAGGAUGGGGACAACAUUCCGAAAGGAAUGCUAAUACCGAAUGAAGUCGAGGGAAGGCAUCUCCCUUCGAUGAAAGAUGGCCUCUAUAUAUAAGCUAUCACCUGUUGAUGGGUCUGCGUCUGAUUAGCUGGUAGGUGAGGUAACGGCUCACCUAGGCGACGAUCAGUAGCCGGUCUGAGAGGAUGAACGGCCACAUUGGGACUGAGACACGGCCCAGACUCCUACGGGAGGCAGCAGUGGGGAAUCUUCCGCAAUGGGCGCAAGCCUGACGGAGCAACGCCGCGUGAGUGAAGAAGGUCUUCGGAUCGUAAAGCUCUGUUGACGGGGACGAACGUACGGAGUGCAAAUAGUGC
This 463-nucleotide ribosomal RNA is filed under the name Selenomonas sp. oral taxon G51. RNAcentral's name for it is "bacterial SSU rRNA". It matches the Rfam family "Bacterial small subunit ribosomal RNA", at positions 28 to 469 of the family's 1533-position model. The record is from RNAcentral. Lineage: Bacteria; Bacillati; Bacillota; Negativicutes; Selenomonadales; Selenomonadaceae.